CAGUUGGUUUAUUUCAAGGGCAGCAUUAAAGGCAGGUUUAUGUCCUGGGAGAGACGGUCCUGGUUGGUACCUGAAGAGACCCUCUCUGUGUAUUUGGAAAUGACAGAAAAGACCAGAAGCAGGCAGGACAAUAAAAGUAACAAAGCACUCACGAGUCACACUGUUGUUUGAUAGACUUCUGUUUAAUUUAUACCGUACUUCCAUUGUACUAGCUACUUACAUGGAGUUUUGGCUGCAUAGCCUUUACAAUUCCUAGGUUCUAGCAGGUAAGUUUCAUCAUCAUUUCCUCGCGUUUUGCGCACAGCGCAAACCUGAUGACAGUUCAACAACUCCUAAAACAAAACCACGGGUCCUCCCCCAGCCCACCCUGAAGUUCAUGGCGGUGCUGCAGGCUGUGGCCAACAGCCCUCUGCUUCCCUGGCCCUGGUGCUGAAAUCCAGAAGGGGAAUGCACACCCAUGGGUUUCUGUAUGACCGUUCCCUCGCCUUGCUGACACGAGGAGAUCCUCAUUAAUCUGCAAUUGCGGCAGCGAUCGGGGUUGCAGGAUGUGGGGCUCAGGUGGGCAGAACACACUCCAGGGUGUUUAUAGCAGCUUUACCCAGCCCUGGAGCGCGUGAUGAGAUGAACUGCAGUGAGAGUGACCAUGUCCCAGAGGUGCCACAGCCACACAGUGCCAGUCCUGGUGGUCAGAGAUGUACGCUGCGAUGGUUCUGCUGCUCCUCCCUCUGCUCUGAGCUCGUCGGGCCAAGAGCCAGGCCAAGCCCAAGGAAGCUGUACCAGUGGGAACAUCCAGAACCCAACGUGACCGCAGUCUGCAGAGAUGCUGCAGAGGAAGGAGGAUGCACAUGCGAGCAAAGGGAUUUCUUGCCUCCAUAACCAGCAAGAGAAUGUCAGCUUGUGCCAAUUCGAGCUAGAGACCAACGGACACAUGAGACCUGCACCAUUUCUUGUGGGAACACACAGCUGACUCCUUCCUGCCAUCUAGGAGUGGACAUGUCCUGCUUCUGAACAAAGGUUCUCGACAAAGGUGGAGACUGAGUGCCUUGCAUGUCACCUACCCUACCGGGCUGGGCUGGCCAGCAUGGCAGCAAAUUGCAUUUCUGCUCCAAGAGACGUAGAAGAUGAUUGCCAGGGAGACCUGCUCUCCACAGCCCUACAGCAAUUCCUCUGGAGGCCUCCUCUCCAAUCGGGGGAUCGUUUCAUAAGGGAUCGAUGGUGAUUGCCAAAACCUCUCUGCCCUGAAGCCAGCAAGGAUUCUCUCCUUUACUUGUCUGGACUCCUGUGAGAUGAUAGAGAACCCACGUGAAUAGCCCUUGGGACCUUCUGCCCAGCCCAGCAUCAGAAGACAGACUUAAAGAGAGAUGGGAACGGAGGUGAUGCACCUGGUGGGCUGCAGUGGUCCAGGUAAGGCUGAGGGAUUGCAGGUGAUGGGCUGGGAGGACACAGUGACUGUCUACUCACAGUGGUACUGGGAUGUGUGGUCUCACCUGGUCUAGAAGCAUCACGGAGGAUUUGAUGAUCUCACGCCAUUUUUGUAACUCUGAGUCAUGAUACUUCUGCUGAGAUUCUAGUAACUGGGCCCAUUCUGUCUGCGACUGGG
Molecule: long non-coding RNA, 1600 nt
Filed under: Gallus gallus (chicken)
Lineage: Eukaryota; Metazoa; Chordata; Aves; Galliformes; Phasianidae
Description: long non-coding RNA NONGGAT005249
Source: RNAcentral